ACCUUCAGCACAGAAGGUGGUGAUGUGGCAAGCCCAGGCUUGCUCCCUGGCGCCUGCUUAGCCCUGUUUCUCUGCCAGGGGAAGAUUCCGGCAGUGCGGCCUCCUCCAGGAUCUGCCCCAUCAGUCUCUUCCUGACUGUAUCUCCAGGGGUGGGUUGGGGUGGGGUGAUUUGGCCUGAAAGAACCGUGUGGAAAGAGGGAAUUGUCUGUCAAAAUGUUCUAGAAAGCUGGGCAGCUUAUGAAACCAAUGGAGGAGUCUUCACUGCUGCUUCACAGUACUGGGCAGUGGAGUCAGCCAGACCUUUCUUUAUCUCACCAGGCAUCUGAGAGGUGGGUCGUCCCCGCUGUAGUGCUGUUUCUGGGCCCCAGUUGAUGUCUUAACUUGCUUUUCUCUAUUUCAGGUCUCGAAAUCUCUCUAAUUCACACACAUCAUUCCCAAAUCCCAGAAACAAACUAUGGUAGAUUUUAUUUUUCAAAAAAGAGUGGGAUCCAUUCGCUUUUGAAGGCCAUGGUGGGAGGAUUGCCUAGAGGCCAGGAGUUCGAGACCAGCCUGGGAAACACAGCAAGACCCUG
Molecule: long non-coding RNA, 572 nt
Filed under: Homo sapiens (human)
Lineage: Eukaryota; Metazoa; Chordata; Mammalia; Primates; Hominidae
Description: LHRI_LNC1841.1
Source: RNAcentral